RNAcentral lists this ribosomal RNA (403 nucleotides) under bacterium. RNAcentral describes it as "partial 16S ribosomal RNA". It matches the Rfam family "Bacterial small subunit ribosomal RNA", at positions 355 to 776 of the family's 1533-position model. The record is from RNAcentral.
UGGGGAAUAUUGCACAAUGGAGGGAACUCUGAUGCAGCGACGCCGCGUGAACGAAGAAGGCUUUCGAGUCGUAAAGUUCUUUUAUAUGGGAAGAUAAUGACGGUACCAUAAGAAGAAGCCCCGGCUAACUACGUGCCAGCAGCCGCGGUAAUACGUAGGGGGCUAGCGUUGUCCGGAAUCACUGGGCGUAAAGGGUUCGCAGGCGGAAAUGCAAGUCAGGUGUAAAAGGCAGUAGCUUAACUACUGUAAGCAUUUGAAACUGCAUAUCUUGAGAAGAGUAGAGGUGAGUGGAAUUGUUAGUGUAGCGGUGAAAUGCGUAGAUAUUAAAAAGAAUACCGGUGGCGAAGGCAACUUACUGGGCUCAUUCUGACGCUGAGGAACGAAAGCGUGGGUAGCAAACAGG